GACAGGAGUUAGGGAGGCUGCAUUCCCUCUCUUUGCAGCAAUUGCCAGGUCGGGCUCCGUGGAGGAGGACCCCGCCGCCCUCCCUCCUGGCUGCCCCUCCAGAAGAAAAAGCGAUUCAGUGGAGCCCCCGAGCCGGGCGGGUGUGUGUGUGUACGUGUGUGUGUGUCCGUGCGGAUCAGCCGGGGGAACCUGACAGAAUCUGAGCAGCAAGUUGGUCCUAGAGCGCCCGGUUGACGCAAGGCAGGGGCCUAUGGCUCAGCCGUCUGGGCGAGAAACCAGAGGCUCAAGCCAGAGGCGAACUGCUCCCAAGUAGCAGGGGGUCUCCUCCCUGCACCCCUCCGGCCGGCACAGAGGGAGAUCCGGUGCAGAAAGGGCUGAUCUUGCAUUUCAGGGAAGCCUGCAGUGGAGACACCCGCACACGCAGAGCGAGGGCCGGGCAAAGAGUUCCUCUUUCUUGGGAGAUAAAAGAGAUGCUGGAGCCCUGGCUGGACCUGUUCGGAGAGUAAAAGGUCAGCUCUGCCCUUGCUUCUGCUGCCCGGAGCAUCGGAUCCAGGCUUCCCUGCAGGUCGGGGCUCCCAGGCCAUGGGACAGGGAGGAGGACUCAGGCCACUGGACAGGAGAAAAUGGCAGGCUCUUAAUCCAAAAGAGGAAGCCCGAUGUAAAAUAGAGGCGGCUGUUCUCUUGCCUUGUGGUAUCCAUCAUGACUUUUCUACUUGCAGAAUCCUUUCAGAAAUGAUGUCUUGUAAGAGAUUCCUCCCUGGUUUUCCCAGAAAACCUUCUCAAAGACCUCCCAAACCCGGCACUGUAGGGAGUUAUGUUUUAUAGGCCAAUCCACUGUAUAUUUUUAUCAUCUCAUCUGAGCAAGUCAGAUUACCUGAAAUUGAGAUUUCACAAGGCAAGGCAGAGGCCCAUAUUGGUUUCUUAUUGCAUGAACAGACAUAUACACAAGCGCACACAAAUAUACACCGGUAUUCUGAGAACACUUGACUCAAUGCAAGCCUCAGUUCAUUUAUGAGAAUGGCAAAUUUUAAACAUUUGGUUGCUGCAGACAUAUAAUACAUCUAUUACUUCUUAAUCCUAUUGUAUAGGGCCAACACUGCAUAAUCAUCCUGAAGUAUCUCCAAAUGCUUUCGAGACUACAUUCACAGGAAUUCCUUCCACAGUGAAAUACCUAGACUGAAAGAACAGGUAGCAUUGAAGAAGAGAAUUUACAGCACACUAUGUACCAUGCGAGAACUUCAUGAUGUGUGUGGGGAUAAUUGUGGCCAAUGAUACAGCUGACUACAUCUCAGUAGUAACUUCUGGUAGAAAAUAUUAAUGAUUAUUUUAAAAAAUAGGUUGUUUCAAAUACACAUGAUGCGACAAUCAAUAGCAGUCAUUUCUACUUUCUUUUCCUUUUUCUUUCUUUAAUGAUAAUUUUCCAGAAUGUUGAUUUAUCAUCAGAAUCCCUAAAACUUGCCUGCUUUCAAGUCAUUUCUUUUAAACAUCAGAUUUUAAUAACUGGUGCCAGGAUAUACUAAAAGAUAAUGCAUUUACUCAUCUGAGAAGAGAGUGCAGAUGUAUUUCAAUUCAUGAUGUUGAUGUAUAGACCAAACUAACAGUCAUUAAAUGGAAUA
Long non-coding RNA from Crocodylus porosus (Australian saltwater crocodile), 1616 nucleotides. NCBI's taxonomy places the organism in Eukaryota, Metazoa, Chordata, Crocodylia, Crocodylidae. The record is from Ensembl.